AUUGAACGCUGGCGGCAUGCCUUACACAUGCAAGUCGAACGGCAGCACGGGUGCUUGCACCUGGUGGCGAGUGGCGAACGGGUGAGUAAUACAUCGGAACAUGUCCUGUAGUGGGGGAUAGCCCGGCGAAAGCCGGAUUAAUACCGCAUACGAUCCACGGAUGAAAGCGGGGGACCUUCGGGCCUCGCGCUAUAGGGUUGGCCGAUGGCUGAUUAGCUAGUUGGUGGGGUAAAGGCCUACCAAGGCGACGAUCAGUAGCUGGUCUGAGAGGACGACCAGCCACACUGGGACUGAGACACGGCCCAGACUCCUAAGGGAGGCAGCAGUGGGGAAUUUUGGACAAAGGGCGAAAGCCUGAUCCAGCAAUGCCGCGUGUGUGAAGAAGGCCUUCGGGUUGUAAAGCACUUUUGUCCGGAAAGAAAUCCUUGGCUCUAAUACCGGCGGGGGAUGACGGUACCGGAAGAAUAAGCACCGGCUAACUACGUG
Molecule: ribosomal RNA, 486 nt
Filed under: uncultured bacterium
Lineage: Bacteria
Description: partial 16S ribosomal RNA
Rfam family: Bacterial small subunit ribosomal RNA
Source: RNAcentral